RNAcentral lists this ribosomal RNA (468 nucleotides) under uncultured bacterium. RNAcentral describes it as "partial 16S ribosomal RNA". It matches the Rfam family "Bacterial small subunit ribosomal RNA", at positions 28 to 507 of the family's 1533-position model. The record is from RNAcentral.
GACGAACGCUGGCGGCGUGCUUAACACAUGCAAGUCGAACGGAAAGGCCCUGCUUUUGUGGGGUGCUCGAGUGGCGAACGGGUGAGUAACACGUGAGUAACCUGCCCUUGACUUUGGGAUAACUUCAGGAAACUGGGGCUAAUACCGGAUAGGAGCUCCUGCUGCAUGGUGGGGGUUGGAAAGUUUCGGCGGUUGGGGAUGGACUCGCGGCUUAUCAGCUUGUUGGUGGGGUAGUGGCUUACCAAGGCUUUGACGGGUAGCAGGCCUGAGAGGGUGACCGGCCACAUUGGGACUGAGAUACGGCCCAGACUCCUACGGGAGGCAGAAGUGGGGAAUAUUGCACAAUGGGCGGAAGCCUGAUGCAGCAACGCCGCGUGCGGGAUGACGGCCUUCGGGUUGUAAACCGCCUUCGCCUGUGACGAAGCGUGAGUGACGGUAAUGGGUAAAGAAGCACCGGCUAACUACGUG